Molecule: ribosomal RNA, 494 nt
Filed under: uncultured bacterium
Lineage: Bacteria
Description: partial 16S ribosomal RNA
Rfam family: Bacterial small subunit ribosomal RNA
Source: RNAcentral
GACGAACGCUGGCGGCGUGCUUAACACAUGCAAGUCGAACGGUGAAGCGCCUUCCUUUUUGGUGGGUGUGGAUGAGUGGCGAACGGGUGAGUAACACGUGAGUAACCUGCCCCCUUCUUCUGGAUAACCGCAUGAAAGUGUGGCUAAUACGGGAUAUUCUGGGUCUGUCGCAUGAUGGGUCUGGGAAAGAUAUUGUUUCGGUGGGGGAUGGGCUCGCGGCCUAUCAGCUUGUUGGUGGGGUGAUGGCCUACCAAGGCGGUGACGGGUAGCCGGCCUGAGAGGGUGGACGGUCACACUGGGACUGAGACACGGCUCAGACUCCUACGCGAGGCAGCAGUGGGGAAUAUUGCACAGUGGGCGCAAGCCUGAUGCAGCGACGCCGCGUGAGGGAUGGAGGCCUGCGGGUUGUGAACCUCUUUCGCCAGUGAAGCAGGCCUGCCUCGUUUGUGGGUGGGUUGACGGUAGCUGGAUAAGAAGCGCCGGCUAACUACGUG